UACGUAGGGGGCGAGCGUUGUCCGGAAUUAUUGGGCGUAAAGAGCGUGUAGGCGGUUCGGUAAGUCUGCCGUGAAAACCCAGGGCUCAACCCUGGGCGUGCGGUGGAUACGGGCAGGCUAGAGUCCGGUUGGGGAGACUGGAAUUCCUGGUGUAGCGGUGGAAUGCGCAGAUAUCAGGAGGAACACCGGUGGCGAAGGCGGGUCUCUGGGCCGGUACUGACGCUGAGGAGCGAAAGCGUGGGGAGCGAACAGG
RNAcentral lists this ribosomal RNA (253 nucleotides) under uncultured bacterium. RNAcentral describes it as "partial 16S ribosomal RNA". It matches the Rfam family "Bacterial small subunit ribosomal RNA", at positions 524 to 776 of the family's 1533-position model. The record is from RNAcentral.